RNAcentral lists this ribosomal RNA (804 nucleotides) under Paracamarosporium fagi. RNAcentral describes it as "eukaryotic LSU rRNA". It matches the Rfam family "Eukaryotic large subunit ribosomal RNA", at positions 88 to 909 of the family's 3401-position model. Lineage: Eukaryota; Fungi; Ascomycota; Dothideomycetes; Pleosporales; Didymosphaeriaceae. The record is from RNAcentral.
GGCGAGUGAAGCGGCAACAGCUCAAAUUUGAAAUCUGGCUCUCUUUGGGGGUCCGAGUUGUAAUUUGCAGAGGAUGCUUUGGCAUUGGCGGCGGUCUAAGUUCCUUGGAACAGGACAUCGCAGAGGGUGAGAAUCCCGUACGUGGGCGCCUGCCUUUGCCGUGUAAAGCUCCUUCGACGAGUCGAGUUGUUUGGGAAUGCAGCUCUAAAUGGGAGGUAAAUUUCUUCUAAAGCUAAAUACCGGCCAGAGACCGAUAGCGCACAAGUAGAGUGAUCGAAAGAUGAAAAGUACUUUGGAAAGAGAGUCAAAAAGCACGUGAAAUUGUUGAAAGGGAAGCGCUUGCAGCCAGACUUGCCCGCAGUUGCUCACCUAGGCUUUGGCCUGGGGCACUCUUCUGCGGGCAGGCCAGCAUCAGUUUGGGCGGUUGGAUAAAGGCCUCUGUCACGUAUCUUCCUUCGGGAUGACCUUAUAGGGGAGGCGUAAUGCAACCAGCCCGGACUGAGGUCCGCGCAUCUGCUAGGAUGCUGGCGUAAUGGCUGUAAGCGGCCCGUCUUGAAACACGGACCAAGGAGUCUAACAUCUAUGCGAGUGUUUGGGUGUCAAGCCCGGGCGCGCAAUGAAAGUGAACGGAGGUGGGAACCCUUUGGGUGCACCAUCGACCGAUCCUGAUGUCUUCGGAUGGAUUUGAGUAAGAGCAUAGCUGUUGGGACCCGAAAGAUGGUGAACUAUGCUUGAAUAGGGUGAAGCCAGAGGAAACUCUGGUGGAGGCUCGCAGCGGUUCUGACGUGCAAAUCGAUCGUCAAA